RNAcentral lists this ribosomal RNA (453 nucleotides) under uncultured bacterium. Its description in RNAcentral is "bacterial SSU rRNA". It matches the Rfam family "Bacterial small subunit ribosomal RNA", at positions 56 to 504 of the family's 1533-position model. The record is from RNAcentral.
UGCAAGUCGGACGGGAUCCAUUGAUAGCUUGCUAUCCAUGGUGAGAGUGGCGCACGGGUGCGUAACGCGUGAGCAACCUACCUCCAUCAGGGGGAUAGCCUCUCGAAAGAGAGAUUAACACCGCAUAACAUCAACAGUUCGCAUGUUCAGUUGAUUAAAUAUUUAUAGGAUGGAGAUGGGCUCGCGUGACAUUAGCUAGUUGGUAGGGUAACGGCUUACCAAGGCGACGAUGUCUAGGGGCUCUGAGAGGAGAAUCCCCCACACUGGUACUGAGACACGGACCAGACUCCUACGGGAGGCAGCAGUGGGGAAUAUUGCACAAUGGGCGCAAGCCUGAUGCAGCGACGCCGCGUGGGGGAUGACGGCCUUCGGGUUGUAAACCUCUUUCAGUAGGGAACAAGGCCUCCUUGAUGGGGGUGGAGGGUACCUGCAGAAGAAGUACCGGCUAGCUAC